GGGAUUGUAGUAUAGUGGUCAGUACUUCUCGUUGUGGUUUCCGAACUUACAGCGGCCGAGAGGACCCAGGUUCGAUUCCUGGCAAUCCCA
Molecule: transfer RNA, 90 nt
Rfam family: tRNA
About the family: Transfer RNA (tRNA) molecules are approximately 80 nucleotides in length. Their secondary structure includes four short double-helical elements and three loops (D, anti-codon, and T loops).
Source: Rfam